Molecule: transfer RNA, 97 nt
Rfam family: tRNA
About the family: Transfer RNA (tRNA) molecules are approximately 80 nucleotides in length. Their secondary structure includes four short double-helical elements and three loops (D, anti-codon, and T loops). Further hydrogen bonds mediate the characteristic L-shaped molecular structure. tRNAs have two regions of fundamental functional importance: the anti-codon, which is responsible for specific mRNA codon recognition, and the 3' end, to which the tRNAs corresponding amino acid is attached (by aminoacyl-tRNA synthetases). tRNAs cope with the degeneracy of the genetic code in two manners: having more than one tRNA (with a specific anti-codon) for a particular amino acid; and 'wobble' base-pairing, i.e. permitting non-standard base-pairing at the 3rd anti-codon position.
GCAUCAUUGGUCUAGUGGUAGAAUUCAUCGUUGCCAAUCAUCAGUAGAUUCUGAUUUCGAUUUCGAUGAGGCCCGUGUUCGAUUCACGGAUGAUGCA